RNAcentral lists this ribosomal RNA (443 nucleotides) under uncultured Prevotella sp. Its description in RNAcentral is "bacterial SSU rRNA". It matches the Rfam family "Bacterial small subunit ribosomal RNA", at positions 355 to 794 of the family's 1533-position model. Lineage: Bacteria; Pseudomonadati; Bacteroidota; Bacteroidia; Bacteroidales; Prevotellaceae. The record is from RNAcentral.
UGAGGAAUAUUGGGUCAAUGGACGGGAGUCUGAAUCAGCCAAGUAGCGUGCAGGACGACGGCCCUAUGGGUUGUAAACUGCUUUUAUAGGGGGAUAAAGUGUGCCGCGUGUGGCAUAUUGCAGGUACCCUAUGAAUAAGGACCGGCUAAUUCCGUGCCAGCAGCCGCGGUAAUACGGAAGGUCCGGGCGUUAUCCGGAUUUAUUGGGUUUAAAGGGAGCGUAGGCCGUCUUAUAAGCGUGUUGUGAAAUGCAGUCGCUCAACGUCUGCACUGCAGCGCGAACUGCCCAGCUUGAGUGCGCGCAACGUUGGCGGAAUUCGCCGUGUAGCGGUGAAAUGCUUAGAUAUGGCGAAGAACUCCGAUUGCGAAGGCAGCUGACGGGUGCGUAACUGACGCUCAUGCUCGAAAGUGCGGGUAUCGAACAGGAUUAGAUACCCUGGUAGU